Molecule: long non-coding RNA, 1053 nt
Organism: Prunus persica (peach)
Lineage: Eukaryota; Viridiplantae; Streptophyta; Magnoliopsida; Rosales; Rosaceae
Exons: 2
Source: RefSeq, a predicted model, not a curated record
GGUAAAUUAGUAAUUCAAUAAAUAGUUUGGUAGUAGGGUGUACUUAAUUAAUUUUAGAGUUCGUUUAGUAGCACUCAAAAUAUAUGAUCAUCAGAUCCCAACUUUCAAGCCUAACUAGCGUUUAGUGUAGUGGGUGAGGAAAAAAAAGAAGAAAAAAGGCUAUGUGCCGCACGACCUGGGGGGAAGGAGGUCCUCUCUUCCUCCCAUUUCCUAUGGUUUCUCUUCUCUGGCCUGCUCCUUACAACUUGAGGAGAUCUGUAAGCCCCUUUUCUCCCAUUCUUUGUGGGUGUUUAUGCUCUUCCCUUUGUGGGUGUUCUGUUCUCCCCUUUUUGUGGCUAUUUUGUUCUCCCUUUUGUGGGUGUUUUGUUCAAGCUCUGCUUGAACUCUAAGGCUUUAUGCCUUUGGCUUCCUUUAAUUUCUCAGAUCCCCAUUUAUUUCUCAUCCACUGUAUUCAGUUGUCCCUUCCUCCAUCCAUUUCCUCUUAUCUCCCUCCCCCCCCCCACACUCCAUUCAAAUCCCUUCUCUAUGGUCUUGGUAUCGUCCAUUCGUACCAAAAUUUUCUCCUCUUUAUUGAUAUGGCUUCAUCUUGUGGCUGCUUCGGCUAGCCGAAAACGCGGCUUCUUGCGCACAACUCUGAAGAUGUGUAGAGUUCGAGCUUUUGCUCUUUCUCGGGUGCCUGCACCACCUCCUUCUACUAUGUUGAUUUGUGUUUGUUCUGGUGCUUUGUCAGGUUUGAUUUGGGAGGUGUGGUAGCUCUUCCCCUCAACUUGUCCCCUUGAUGUCGUCUCGUGCGGUGUUGGCGGCGGCUCGGUUGAAUUUUGGUUAGGGUUUGCUAGCUUUCUUGGCCUUGGUUUUUGCCUGUGGGCUUAAUGCGUUCCCGGUUUUAAGCUGCUUGUUGUUUUCUUUGUAUUUUAUUUGGGCCUUUGGCAUUUUUGUUUUGUUGUUGAGCCUAGUUGGUUGGGUUUCACUUUUUGUUGUAUUGUUAUACCCUUUUGUGGGUUUAUAAUGAAAACUACAUUCGAACAAAAGAAAAAAAAAAAAAGGAGUUACCCA